AUACGGAGGGUGCAAGCGUUGCUCGGAAUCACUGGGCGUAAAGCGAACGCAGGCGGCCCGGCAAGUCGGGUGUGAAAGCCCGGGGCUCAACCCCGGAAUUGCGCUCGAAACUGCCGGCCUUGAGUACGGGAGAGGGAAGCGGAAUUCCUAGUGUAGAGGUGAAAUUCGUAGAUAUUAGGAGGAACACCCGUGGCGAAAGCGGCUUCCUGGCCCGAUACUGACGCUCAUGUUCGAAAGCGUGGGGAGCAAACAGGAUUAGAAACCCCAGUAGUCC
RNAcentral lists this ribosomal RNA (274 nucleotides) under uncultured bacterium. RNAcentral describes it as "partial 16S ribosomal RNA". It matches the Rfam family "Bacterial small subunit ribosomal RNA", at positions 523 to 796 of the family's 1533-position model. The record is from RNAcentral.